CCUACAUUCAACCCCUAGGGGUAUUUAUACACUUUCCUACUGGACCGGGCCUUCUUUCACUGGUCAAGUGGGCUUGCUGGGUCUGGUCUGAUGGACCAGGGGUAUCAUCAGUACUCCCCCCUUCCGCAGCCUGUAAAUUCUUCUUUUUUUUUCUUUACUUUUCUGAAUUCAACAUGUCUUCGCCCUAUGUUAUUGGAGGAGCUUGGCCGCAACCUAGUACACCAACAAGCUUCUUGGUCCGAAAGUCUUAUUCUCCACAGGGAAAAAGCUCGCGCCCUUGCUGUUGCCGAGAGAUACCGCCUUAACUCUUUGCUUCUAGCUGUUCAAUGUCGCCUUUUUUGUUCUUUGUCAAGUUGAAAAUGAUGUUGUGGUUGAGUUCCAUGUCGCUCCGGGUGGUAUCCAUGUAACUCCUGCCGUUGAUCCUGUCUCUGACGACCGCUCUGUUGUUCCUUCUAUUGUUCGACGCUGCCGAGGACGCAGACAGCAUGCUGAUCAUGCGUUCUCUGCCCCCCCUCCGGGUGGUAUUAUGAG
Molecule: long non-coding RNA, 531 nt
Filed under: Zostera marina
Lineage: Eukaryota; Viridiplantae; Streptophyta; Magnoliopsida; Alismatales; Zosteraceae
Description: long non-coding RNA (ZMAR_LNC005409)
Source: RNAcentral